RNAcentral lists this transfer RNA (65 nucleotides) under Dipodomys ordii (Ord's kangaroo rat). It matches the Rfam family "tRNA". From Rfam's summary of the family: Transfer RNA (tRNA) molecules are approximately 80 nucleotides in length. Their secondary structure includes four short double-helical elements and three loops (D, anti-codon, and T loops). The record is from Rfam by way of RNAcentral. Lineage: Eukaryota; Metazoa; Chordata; Mammalia; Rodentia; Heteromyidae.
GGUGGCUCAAUGGUAGAGUGUUUGCUUCGCAUGUAUAAGGCCCUGGGUUCGAUUCCUCAGCACCA